RNAcentral lists this ribosomal RNA (255 nucleotides) under uncultured bacterium. RNAcentral's name for it is "partial 16S ribosomal RNA". It matches the Rfam family "Bacterial small subunit ribosomal RNA", at positions 1135 to 1389 of the family's 1533-position model. The record is from RNAcentral.
GCACUCACGGGAGACCGCCAGCGACAAGUUGGAGGAAGGUGGGGACGACGUCAAGUCAUCAUGGCCUUUAUGUCCAGGGCGACACACGUGCUACAAUGGACGGNACAACGGGUCGCGAAACCGCGAGGUGGAGCUAAUCCCUAAAAACCGCCCUCAGUUCGGAUCGCAAGCUGCAAUUCGCCUGCGUGAAGCCGGAAUCGCUAGUAAUGGCGCAUCAGAACGGCGCCGUGAAUACGUUCCCGGGCCUUGNACACA